GUGAACGCUGGCGGUCGACCUCACACAUGCCAGUCGCACGGCAGCACAGUAAGAGCUUGCUCUUACGGGUGGCGAGUGGCGGACGGGUGAGGAAUACAUCGGAAUCUACUUUUUCGUGGGGGAUAACGUAGGGAAACUUACGCUAAUACCGCAUACGACCUACGGGUGAAAGCAGGGGAUCUUCGGACCUUGCGCGAUUGAAUGAGCCGAUGUCGGAUUAGCUAGUUGGCGGGGUAAAGGCCCACCAAGGCGACGAUCCGUAGCUGGUCUGAGAGGAUGAUCAGCCACACUGGAACUGAGACACGGUCCAGACGCCUACGGGAGGCAGCAGUGGGGAAUAUUGGACAAUGGGCGCAAGCCUGAUCCAGCCAUACCGCGUGGGUGAAGAAGGCCUUCGGGUUGUAAAGCCCUUUUGUUGGGAAAGAAAAGCAGCAGGUUAAUACCCCGCUGUUCUGACGGUACCCAAAGAAUAAGCACCGGCUAACUUCGUG
RNAcentral lists this ribosomal RNA (491 nucleotides) under uncultured bacterium. RNAcentral's name for it is "partial 16S ribosomal RNA". It matches the Rfam family "Bacterial small subunit ribosomal RNA", at positions 29 to 507 of the family's 1533-position model. The record is from RNAcentral.